This 253-nucleotide ribosomal RNA is filed under the name uncultured bacterium. Its description in RNAcentral is "partial 16S ribosomal RNA". It matches the Rfam family "Bacterial small subunit ribosomal RNA", at positions 524 to 776 of the family's 1533-position model. The record is from RNAcentral.
UACGUAGGGGGCAAGCGUUGUCCGGAUUUAUUGGGCGUAAAGAGCGUGUAGGCGGCCAUACAGGUCCGUUGUGAAAACUGGAGGCUUAACCUCCAGACGUCGAUGGAAACCGUAUGGCUAGAGUCCGGAAGAGGAGAGUGGAAUUCCUGGUGUAACGGUGAAAUGUGUUGAUAUCAGGAGGAACACCCAUGGCGAAGGCAGCAAACUGGGCAGCAACUGACGCUGAGGCGCGAAAGCGUGGGUAGCAAACAGG